RNAcentral lists this ribosomal RNA (581 nucleotides) under uncultured Glomeromycotina. RNAcentral describes it as "LSU rRNA". It matches the Rfam family "Eukaryotic large subunit ribosomal RNA", at positions 204 to 637 of the family's 3401-position model. The record is from RNAcentral. Lineage: Eukaryota; Fungi; Glomeromycota.
CAUGGAGGGUGAGAAUCCCGUCCGGUUGAUCGUGAGCGCACUACGAUACGCUUUCAAAGAGUCAAGUUGUUUGGGAUUGCAGCUUAAAAUGGGAGGUAAAUUUCUCCUAAGGCUAAAUAACGGCGAGAGACCGAUAGCGAACAAGUACCGUGAGGGAAAGAUGAAAAGAACUUUGAAAAGAGAGUUAAACAGUACGUGAAAUUGUUGAAAGGGAAACGAUUGAAGCCAGUCGUACCUUCGGGUAAUCAGCCUUUUGGGUGUGAUUUUGUGGAGUGUGAGGAGUUAAACGCCUUCAUGCCUGCAUAUUCGUGCACUUUGGGUGUACUUGCUCGUGUGGUAAGUUAACAUCAAUUUUGGUUAUCAUAAAAUGGCUGGAGGAAUGUAGCUUCGAUCUCGUAUUGAAGUGUUAUAGCCUUCGGUAGAUGUGAUGAUCGGGAUUGAGGAUUGCAACGGAUACCCUUCGGGGCUACCCGUCUGAUCUCUGAGGGUUGCAUCGGUGCCGAAAGCGUGCUUACGGUUAUCGAUAGUGAUGGUCAAAAGGUUAGAACGGGUUAAAUUCGUUAAGGAUGUUGACGUAAUGG